This 444-nucleotide ribosomal RNA is filed under the name uncultured bacterium. Its description in RNAcentral is "SSU rRNA". It matches the Rfam family "Bacterial small subunit ribosomal RNA", at positions 26 to 518 of the family's 1533-position model. The record is from RNAcentral.
AGAGCGAACGCUGGCGGCAGGCUUAACACAUGCAAGUCGAGCGCCCCGCAAGGGGAGCGGCAGACGGGAGAGUAACACGUGGGAACGUACCUUUCGGUUCGGAACAACCCAGGGAAACUUGGGCUAAUACCGGAUACGCCCGCAAGGGGAAAGAUUUAUCGCCGGAAGAUCGGCCCGCGUCUGAUUAGCUAGUUGGUGAGGUAACGGCUCACCAAGGCGACGAUCAGUAGCUGGUCUGAGAGGAUGAUCAGCCUCACUGGGACUGAGACACGGCCCAGACUCCUACGGGAGGCAGCAGUGGGGAAUAUUGGACAAUGGGCGCAAGCCUGAUCCAGCCAUGCCGCGUGGGUGAUGAAGGCCCUAGGGUUGUAAAGCCCGUUUCGGCGGGGAAGAUAAUGACGGUACCCGCAGAAGAAGCCCCGGCUAACUCGUGCCAGCAGCCGC